Molecule: ribosomal RNA, 826 nt
Filed under: Neodenticula seminae
Lineage: Eukaryota; Bacillariophyta; Bacillariophyceae; Bacillariales; Bacillariaceae
Description: LSU rRNA
Rfam family: Eukaryotic large subunit ribosomal RNA
Source: RNAcentral
AAUUUAAGCAUAUAAUUAAGCGGAGGAAAAGAAACUAACUAGGAUUCCCUCAGUAACGGCGAGUGAAGCGGGACUAGCUCAGGAUGUGAAUCUGCGCUUUUAUGGCGCCGAAUUGUGGUCUGUAGACCUUGACGUUAUUUGCCGGGCCAAGUUCCUUGGAAAAGGACAGCUGAGAGGGUGAGACUCCCGUCCGCCUGGUAGAGUGAGUCAUGUGUCAACGAGUCGAGUUGUUUGGGAUUGCAGCUCUAAUUUGGUGGUAAAUUCCAUCUAAAGCUAAAUAUUGGUGGGAGACCGAUAGCGUACAAGUACCGUGAGGGAAAGAUGCAAAGAACUUUGAAAAGAGAGUUAAAGAGUACCUGAAAUUGCUGAAACGGAAGCGAAGGAAACCAGUGUUUGUUGGUUCAUAUUUCCCUAGCCACUUGUGGUUUGGGCGCUGUGAGCUUGCGUGAGUUUGGGUUGGUUGAUCCCUUUGGAAGAGCGCAGACAGAGUUGAUGUUUGUUGCUAGCACUGGGUUUGACUGAUGCAGACGAAAUGGUUUUCUUUACCCCGUCUUGAAACACGGACCAAGGAGUCUAACAUAUGUGCGAGUACAGGGGUGUCAAACCUCCGUGCGUAAUGAAAGUGACAGUGGUUGGAUUAAUUUGCACAAUCCGCCGGCCUCAAUCCUUCGGGAGAACGGUCUGAGUGUGAGCAUACAUGUUGGGACCCGAAAGAUGGUGAACUAUGCCUGAAUAGGGUGAAGCCAGGGGAAACUCUGGUGGAGGCUCGUAGCGAUUCUGACGUGCAAAUCGAUCGUCAAAUUUGGGUAUAGGGGCGAAAGACUAA